Molecule: ribosomal RNA, 253 nt
Filed under: uncultured bacterium
Lineage: Bacteria
Description: partial 16S ribosomal RNA
Rfam family: Bacterial small subunit ribosomal RNA
Source: RNAcentral
UACGUAGGUGGCAAGCGUUAUCCGGAUUUAUUGGGCGUAAAGAGAACGCAGGCGGUCUUUUAAGUCUGAUGUGAAAGCCUUCGGCUUAACCGGAGUAGUGCAUUGGAAACUGGGAGACUUGAGUGCAGAAGAGGAGAGUGGAACUCCAUGUGUAGCGGUGAAAUGCGUAGAUAUAUGGAAGAACACCAGUGGCGAAAGCGGCUCUCUGGUCUGUAACUGACGCUGAGGUUCGAAAGCGUGGGUAUCGAACAGG